Molecule: ribosomal RNA, 638 nt
Filed under: Microbacterium sp.
Lineage: Bacteria; Bacillati; Actinomycetota; Actinomycetes; Micrococcales; Microbacteriaceae
Description: bacterial SSU rRNA
Rfam family: Bacterial small subunit ribosomal RNA
Source: RNAcentral
AUGUGAUGUGACCGCAUGGUCUGCAUCUGGAAAGAAUUUCGGUUGGGGAUGGGCUCGCGGCCUAUCAGCUUGUUGGUGAGGUAAUGGCUCACCAAGGCGUCGACGGGUAGCCGGCCUGAGAGGGUGACCGGCCACACUGGGACUGAGACACGGCCCAGACUCCUACGGGAGGCAGCAGUGGGGAAUAUUGCACAAUGGGCGCAAGCCUGAUGCAGCAACGCCGCGUGAGGGAUGACGGCCUUCGGGUUGUAAACCUCUUUUAGCAGGGAAGAAGCGAAAGUGACGGUACCUGCAGAAAAAGCGCCGGCUAACUACGUGCCAGCAGCCGCGGUAAUACGUAGGGCGCAAGCGUUAUCCGGAAUUAUUGGGCGUAAAGAGCUCGUAGGCGGUUUGUCGCGUCUGCUGUGAAAUCCGGAGGCUCAACCUCCGGCCUGCAGUGGGUACGGGCAGACUAGAGUGCGGUAGGGGAGAUUGGAAUUCCUGGUGUAGCGGUGGAAUGCGCAGAUAUCAGGAGGAACACCGAUGGCGAAGGCAGAUCUCUGGGCCGUAACUGACGCUGAGGAGCGAAAGGGUGGGGAGCAAACAGGCUUAGAUACCCUGGUAGUCCACCCCGUAAACGUUGGGAACUAGUUGUGGGG